Capra hircus (goat) is the source of this 227-nucleotide long non-coding RNA. RefSeq lists it as uncharacterized. The transcript has 3 exons. NCBI's taxonomy places the organism in Eukaryota, Metazoa, Chordata, Mammalia, Artiodactyla, Bovidae. The record is from RefSeq and is a predicted model, not a curated record.
GACUGCUUGAUGGCACCGGUGUGUCGGGCAUUGCUUCCUCCUGACAUCUGAGCCCUGGAAGACCCUGGAGUGGGUCAGACCCUUUCACAGGCAGAUAAACCAAUCCAGCGUUCCAGCUACCAGCUGCCAUCGUCAUCAGCUCUCACACUCUGGGCCUGGUCCCCUGCCCUCCCCACCCUGGACCAGUGGGAACCACAGGGAAGGCUCUUCCUGGUCACGCUUUCUCC